UCCCUGGUGGUCCAGUGGUUAAUACUCCGCACUCCCAAUGCAGGGGGCCCAGGUUCAAUCCCUGGUCAGCGAA
This is a non-coding RNA of Bos taurus (domestic cattle), 73 nucleotides long. The record is from Rfam. NCBI's taxonomy places the organism in Eukaryota, Metazoa, Chordata, Mammalia, Artiodactyla, Bovidae.